RNAcentral lists this ribosomal RNA (253 nucleotides) under uncultured bacterium. Its description in RNAcentral is "partial 16S ribosomal RNA". It matches the Rfam family "Bacterial small subunit ribosomal RNA", at positions 524 to 776 of the family's 1533-position model. The record is from RNAcentral.
UACAGAGGGUGCGAGCGUUAAUCGGAAUUACUGGGCGUAAAGCGCGCGUAGGCGGCUUUGCAAGUCGGAUGUGAAAUCCCCAGGCUUAACCUGGGAACUGCAUUCGAGACUGCAUUGCUAGAGUAUGGGAGAGGGAUGUGGAAUUCCAGGUGUAGCGGUGAAAUGCGUAGAUAUCUGGAGGAACAUCGGUGGCGAAGGCGGCAUCCUGGACCGGUAUUGACGCUGAGGCGCGAAAGCCAGGGGAGCAAACGGG